GACGAACGCUGGCGGCGUGCUUAACACAUGCAAGUCGAACGGAAAGGCCCUGCUUUCGUGGGGUGCUCGAGUGGCAAACGGGUGAGUAACACGUGAGUAACCUGCCCUUGACUUUGGGAUAACUUCAGGAAACUGGGGCUACUACCGGAUAGGAGCUCCUGCUGCAUGGUGGGGGUUGGAACGUUUCGGCGGUUGGGGAUGGACUCGCGGCUUAUCAGCUUGUUGGUGGGGUAGUGGCUUACCCAGGCUUUGACGGGUAGCCGGCCUGAGAGGUUGAACGGGGACAAUGGGCCUGAGGUACGGACCAGACUCCUACGGGAGGCAGCAGCGGGGAGUAUUGCACAGUGGGCGGAAGCCUGAUGCAGCAACGCCGCGUGCGGGAUGACGGCCUUCGGGGUGUAAACCGCUUUCGCCUGUGACGAAGCGUGAGUGACGGUAAUGGGUAAAGAAGCACCGGCUAACUACGUG
RNAcentral lists this ribosomal RNA (468 nucleotides) under uncultured bacterium. RNAcentral describes it as "partial 16S ribosomal RNA". It matches the Rfam family "Bacterial small subunit ribosomal RNA", at positions 28 to 507 of the family's 1533-position model. The record is from RNAcentral.